CGGGACGGGUGAGUAACGCGUGGGUAACCUGCCUUGUACUGGGGGACAACAGUUGGAAACGACUGCUAAUACCGCAUAAGCGCACAGCUUCGCAUGAAGCAGUGUGAAAAACUCCGGUGGUACAAGAUGGACCCGCGUCUGAUUAGCUGGUUGGUGAGGUAACGGCCCACCAAGGCAACGAUCAGUAGCCGGCCUGAGAGGGUGAACGGCCACAUUGGGACUGAGACACGGCCCAG
This 236-nucleotide ribosomal RNA is filed under the name uncultured bacterium. RNAcentral's name for it is "partial 16S ribosomal RNA". It matches the Rfam family "Bacterial small subunit ribosomal RNA", at positions 100 to 334 of the family's 1533-position model. The record is from RNAcentral.